Molecule: ribosomal RNA, 1512 nt
Filed under: Bacillus sp. N6
Lineage: Bacteria; Bacillati; Bacillota; Bacilli; Caryophanales; Bacillaceae
Description: 16S ribosomal RNA
Rfam family: Bacterial small subunit ribosomal RNA
Source: RNAcentral
UAGAGUUUGAUCCUGGCUCAGGACGAACGCUGGCGGCGUGCCUAAUACAUGCAAGUCGAGCGAAUCUGAGGGAGCUUGCUCCCAAAGAUUAGCGGCGGACGGGUGAGUAACACGUGGGCAACCUGCCUGUAAGACUGGGAUAACUUCGGGAAACCGGAGCUAAUACCGGAUAAUCCCUUUCCUCACAUGAGGAAAGGCUGAAAGACGGUUUCGGCUGUCACUUACAGAUGGGCCCGCGGCGCAUUAGCUAGUUGGUGAGGUAACGGCUCACCAAGGCCACGAUGCGUAGCCGACCUGAGAGGGUGAUCGGCCACACUGGGACUGAGACACGGCCCAGACUCCUACGGGAGGCAGCAGUAGGGAAUCUUCCGCAAUGGACGAAAGUCUGACGGAGCAACGCCGCGUGAGUGAUGAAGGUUUUCGGAUCGUAAAACUCUGUUGUUAGGGAAGAACAAGUAUCGGAGUAACUGCCGGUACCUUGACGGUACCUAACCAGAAAGCCACGGCUAACUACGUGCCAGCAGCCGCGGUAAUACGUAGGUGGCAAGCGUUGUCCGGAAUUAUUGGGCGUAAAGCGCGCGCAGGUGGUUCCUUAAGUCUGAUGUGAAAGCCCACGGCUCAACCGUGGAGGGUCAUUGGAAACUGGGGAACUUGAGUGCAGAAGAGGAAAGUGGAAUUCCAAGUGUAGCGGUGAAAUGCGUAGAGAUUUGGAGGAACACCAGUGGCGAAGGCGACUUUCUGGUCUGUAACUGACACUGAGGCGCGAAAGCGUGGGGAGCGAACAGGAUUAGAUACCCUGGUAGUCCACGCCGUAAACGAUGAGUGCUAAGUGUUAGAGGGUUUCCGCCCUUUAGUGCUGCAGCAAACGCAUUAAGCACUCCGCCUGGGGAGUACGACCGCAAGGUUGAAACUCAAAGGAAUUGACGGGGGCCCGCACAAGCGGUGGAGCAUGUGGUUUAAUUCGAAGCAACGCGAAGAACCUUACCAGGUCUUGACAUCCUCUGACAAUCCUAGAGAUAGGACGUUCCCCUUCGGGGGACAGAGUGACAGGUGGUGCAUGGUUGUCGUCAGCUCGUGUCGUGAGAUGUUGGGUUAAGUCCCGCAACGAGCGCAACCCUUGAUCUUAGUUGCCAGCAUUCAGUUGGGCACUCUAAGGUGACUGCCGGUGACAAACCGGAGGAAGGUGGGGAUGACGUCAAAUCAUCAUGCCCCUUAUGACCUGGGCUACACACGUGCUACAAUGGAUGGUACAAAGGGCUGCAAGACCGCGAGGUUUAGCCAAUCCCAUAAAACCAUUCUCAGUUCGGAUUGCAGGCUGCAACUCGCCUGCAUGAAGCCGGAAUCGCUAGUAAUCGCGGAUCAGCAUGCCGCGGUGAAUACGUUCCCGGGCCUUGUACACACCGCCCGUCACACCACGAGAGUUUGUAACACCCGAAGUCGGUGGGGUAACCUUUUGGAGCCAGCCGCCUAAGGUGGGACAGAUGAUUGGGGUGAAGUCGUAACAAGGUAACC